GGUGAUAGUAUUCCAGGCAUUAAUUCCUCCAGGACAGUUGACAUGUUGUGGCAGUAUCAGAGUCUGGAGCUGAGUAAAGCCACGGAAGGUGUUGGCCAAGUCACCUUUGAGGGGGUUUGCUUGCAGGUCUAUGAUGACAGUGGUAUGUGCCUGAUGAAAGUUUGGACCAGGGUCCUCCAGAGAACAGUUCUGGAGAUCCAGCCCCAAGAUGGUGCCCUUCUGAUUCAGGCAGCAACGGGCAUGCAGCAUUAGCUCUCGUGUCGUUUUACAAUAAAAGGCCACUUUUGACAAAU
Molecule: unclassified non-coding RNA, 293 nt
Filed under: Hevea brasiliensis (rubber tree)
Lineage: Eukaryota; Viridiplantae; Streptophyta; Magnoliopsida; Malpighiales; Euphorbiaceae
Source: RNAcentral